Long non-coding RNA from Salvelinus namaycush (lake trout), 601 nucleotides. RefSeq lists it as uncharacterized. The record is from RefSeq and is a predicted model, not a curated record. The transcript is spliced from 2 exons. Lineage: Eukaryota; Metazoa; Chordata; Actinopteri; Salmoniformes; Salmonidae.
GAUGGUCUCCUGACUACCACGUUCUGUGUCCCUCAGAUCCAGUGCUGAAUGAACAGACCAUCUCCAACACACACACCAAGGCAAUAAGUGGAUCCAAUGCAACAUGAUGGACAGAGAGGAGGAAAACCUUUGUUACCUCAACUUGUGACCCUUUCGUGGUAGAAACGAUCUGCCUCCAAGUCUACAGCCAUACUGGAGCAAGACGCCAACUUGCAACACACACAACACUCUUGGAUAAAACCUAAAUCUGUCACAACGUGGGUACUAGCGUUGCUUGGCCCCAGUCACACACAACGUAUCGGAUCCAAGCUAUGCAGUGUGAUAUUGCCUCCUAGAACUGCCCCCCCCCCCCGAAAUCCCUGCCCGCUCCCCACCCCGCCCACCUCAACUCCCCUGUUUUCAAAUAAGCUGAUGUCAGAUGUGAUACAGAGACUGACUCCAGGUCAGUUUGGCACUGGUGUUGUGCUGUGAGAUGUGUGUUGGUCAGUAUGGAGCUGCACUGGCCUGGGGUCAGAGCUAUAAUAGCACUGAGUGGCAUGGAGGCUCUUUUCUGCUAUGGAUAGAACAAAUACUAUAUUAAAGAGAAUAAACCAUUUUUAUU